AGUAGAUAGAUGUUUGUUAUAACAGGAGAGAAUAUAUAAGAAGGUUACUUAGUCUAGUUUUGUAUGACCUGAUGUGUACAGCCAGUGUAAAUAACAUUUUUGAAAGGGCCUUCAGCAUCUUUAGCAUAGGAUUCACCAUUAUAUUCUCAGUAAUGUUUUAAGAAAAUGCUAAACUAUAUAAUAAGUAGUUAUUUGCAUGAGUUUAAACUGUAACACUGUCAUUAGCUCCUAAUAAUAAAUCACUAGGUGGUUAUAUUGUGUUUUGUUACUAAAUGUUAAAAUACUGAAAAAUUCAUUUUUCUAUUAUGUUUAAGUGGUAUCAUUGUUAAUAUUUUUAAGUGGAUUAACAUUUACCUACAAUGAUCUCUUUAACCUUUUUAGUAAGUUUUUUUUGUGUAUGUGUUUUAAGAUGAUGUAUCUGUAAAUAUGGCUUUUUAAAAAUCAUCAUUGUACUGAAUUCAUUUCUUGUGUUCCUGUAACUAGUCAUUUUAGCCACUAGUUAUCUAAACCUACAAUAGAGUUUAUUCAUUUCAGUUACUCUGUUCUUAGAAACUAACUAGUGUUUGAUCUACUACAAGAGAACGCUGUGUUCACACAUGCAUAAACUGUAAGUGGUUAAACUCUCUCUUCUGUGAAGAAUUCAUGGAUGACUUUGAAAUUACAAAAUAAGAAGUAGCUUGUUGUAUCCUAGCCUUGUGUUGGAAUAUAAAUGUUCUUGUUUCCUUCCCUUUAGCUGUUGAAAUCAAGGGACCCUCAAGGUUCAUUAGCUCCUACCUAACUGUCCAUAAAACUGUACUAGAAGUAGUUCCUGGGUCUCCUUUAUCCCGUGAGCUCUGGUGCUUAAGCUAAGGUGCAUUUUCUUAUCCAGGUUUAUAGGUGACAGGUCAGCUGAAGAAGACACGUUUUUUGGGUGCUUAUUCUUUAGUUGAAGGGAGAUAUACAUUGAUUCUUUUAUAUGAAAUUAAACAUAAUAUUUUUACAGCUCUUUUACAUUCACUAAGAGCUUUUCUGUGUAUUCAUGUGGUUAAUAUUCACAACAGUCCUGUGAAAUGGAUAUGAUUAAUGAUAUUCCUAUUUUGAAGGUAAAGAUCUAAUGCUCAGGAGGAAACUCGCCUAUGAUAUGUAGCAAACAGACAGAGCAGUCCAGGCCCCCUGGCUUCAUGUCUACUGUUCUUCCACCGAGUUGUGUGCCAUGCUGGGGUUCAGAAGCCUUGUGGGUAUGACUUAGAAUGGGAUUGUGUAAGUACUUAUUUUUGUUUCCUAAUAUUUCAUGUGCUAUGUUCUAGGAAAAACAAUUUGAUAUGCUUCAAUUAGAAAAUAACAUAGAUAUCUAUACUGAUCAGUAUUAGAGGAAAACUAUUCUUAUUUAUUUCAGUAAGAUACCUCAAUUAAAUAAAUAUUUUAGUGGAAAAUGAAAUUAUGGAUUGUUUUAUUUCUAAGGUUUAGAUCAUAUGAACUUUGGUUUUUAUUGACUCAACAGAUAGUAUCAAAUUGCCAAUUCUACACUAUUCCAUAUUUUAUUUACAUUUGUCAUGUCUUCUAAACAAUUAUGAUAAUACUACUACUUCAGAACUAAUGAGUCCACAUAUAUAAUAAAUACCCACAUCUUGGCUGCAAACAAAAGAAAUUUUAGAUUCCUUUCUCAAUAAUUUUAUAUUCUCUGAAAUAUCACAGUAUGGCACUGUGCUAGCAAACCACUGAGGAUGAGUGAAAUGCCCAGUCCUUACAGUUUAAAUGUAUUUCUAUUUAGGGAAUUGUUUUUCAAGUAACUCCAGAUGAAUUUACUAGGACUGAAGAUUUAUCUAUGUAAAUUGUAAACAUCCCACAAACUGGGCUUAAAAUCCAAGUAACUUUACUGUGUCUAUUGCAUCAAUAUUUCUCUUUCUAUAUGAUCUUAAGGUAGGUAAAGGACCAUUUUUAGAAAUUGGUCCUUUUGGAAAGUAUAACUCAGUCUUUUUAAAUGCUUAGUAUGUAUAAAUCUCUGGAUUUCAGACCCCUCAAUCCCUUUCACAUCUUUAAUAACAUUAAUAAUCUCAACAUAGAACCAGUGCUCAACAAGCAGUACAUAACAAAAGCAACUACUUAUAAAUAUCUAGCAGGUUGUGACUAAUCAUCAGCUGAAAACCUCUUCCAAGGG
RNAcentral lists this long non-coding RNA (2137 nucleotides) under Mus musculus (house mouse). Its description in RNAcentral is "long non-coding RNA chr10:11213857-11215994". The record is from RNAcentral. Lineage: Eukaryota; Metazoa; Chordata; Mammalia; Rodentia; Muridae.